RNAcentral lists this microRNA precursor (105 nucleotides) under Olea europaea subsp. europaea. The record is from RNAcentral. Lineage: Eukaryota; Viridiplantae; Streptophyta; Magnoliopsida; Lamiales; Oleaceae.
GAAUUCGACCGGAAAAUCACCGCAAAAGUCGCCCCAAAAAAUUUGAAAAUCUGCCCAGAUUUUUAGAUUUUUUGGCGACUUUUACGGCAAUUUUCCAGAGAUUUC